Molecule: long non-coding RNA, 1187 nt
Filed under: Vulpes vulpes (red fox)
Lineage: Eukaryota; Metazoa; Chordata; Mammalia; Carnivora; Canidae
Description: lncRNA (ENSVVUG00000003854.1)
Source: RNAcentral
UUCUAGACCUAGUUGUGGCUAAGGGCAGUUGUAUGAUGAGACAGGUAGGCAGUGGUGAGCAGGAGCUUGAGAGUAUGAGGUACUCCACUCACAUGCAAAGGCCCCUCAAGGACCUUUAAUGGGACAGGUUUGUAUGCUGGCUGUCUCUCCACAGCUAGAUUUCCAGGCAGCACUUCCCAAGAUAACUGUAAAUUCAAACUGGUCUUCACAAUCAUAAAGGCAUGUAUUAUUUGGUCCUCCUUUGGUCCUCUUGCCCUCAAACCAAGAAGGGGGUUUUCCAUCAUGUCAGGAGCUUUAUCUUGUUAAUAUCAGAUCUUUUGCUCCUCGCUGAUUACAUGGCACCCACCCUACUGCAUAGUAGUUGCCCAGUAAGAAUUUUGGGGUAAGUGAAAAAAAAUAUAUCUAUCAUAUCAAACUUGGGGUGAUCUUUGGUGUUAAGGAGGUAAAAAGACAACUUCAGUAGCCUCAGAGUAUUCCGUGGAUUGUUUAGCAAAUAAUAUAGCAUCUCUAUUUCCUACCAGUGGGGCAUCUGAGCAUGAAUAAAACAGCACCUGCAUCAUCCCUUCAUCUCAGAAACGCAGAGGAAAGACUCCAAGCAAACUCAACAAGGAGAAGCUUCAGGACAGAGAAAGAUAAAACAGUGUUUGGAAAUGUGAUCCUCUCAAGGCUGCACACCGGCAUCAUCUUGGAGGGAGAACCAGUACAAAUGUGUCCCAAUGACACAUGGACUUCCGGAGACAUCUACUGGAUACAUACUUUCCCAAAAGCAAAUCCCAAACUGAUUGGGUUGACAAUUCUAACGCCUUAUUCACUAAACAAAAACAAAACAAAGCACUGUGAUGAAAAAUCUGAAGGAACAUACACGUUAGCCCACAGGCUCAAGAAAGCAAAUGGAGGCUGACCAUGAGGCUGACCUCAUGAGAGGAGCCACACAGGCCAAUGAAAGGCUUGGAUUCUGCAGCUGGGUUAGCCAAAGCUGAAAUCCUGCUUCGAUUUCUUAUUAGUUCUGUGAUCUUGGGCACAUUUUAAAAACUCCCUGAAUUUCCAGGCCCCUGGGUGGCUCAGUUGGUUAGGAGUCUCCCUUUAGCUCAGGUCAUGAUUCCAGGGUCCUGGGAUUGAGACCUGCAAUGGGCUCCCUGCUCAGUGAGGAGUCUUCUUCUUCCUCUUCCUCUGCUCCUUCCUGCUUU